UAGGGAGCGAGCGUUGUCCGGAAUUACUGGGUGUAAAGGGCGCGUAGGCGGGGACGCAAGUUGGGUGUAAAAGAUACCGGCUCAACCGGUAUUGGCACUCAAAACUGCGACUCUUGAGUGCAGUAGAGGCAGGCGGAAUUCCUAGUGUAGCGGUGGAAUGCGUAGAUAUUAGGAGGAACACCAGUGGCGGAGGCGGCCUGCUGGGCUUUUACUGACGCUGAGGCUCGAAAAUGUGGGGAGCAAA
This 244-nucleotide ribosomal RNA is filed under the name uncultured bacterium. RNAcentral's name for it is "partial 16S ribosomal RNA". It matches the Rfam family "Bacterial small subunit ribosomal RNA", at positions 528 to 772 of the family's 1533-position model. The record is from RNAcentral.